RNAcentral lists this ribosomal RNA (503 nucleotides) under uncultured bacterium. Its description in RNAcentral is "partial 16S ribosomal RNA". It matches the Rfam family "Bacterial small subunit ribosomal RNA", at positions 30 to 523 of the family's 1533-position model. The record is from RNAcentral.
AUUGAACGCUGGCGGCAGGCUUAACACAUGCAAGUCGAGCGGGGUGAUGGUGCUUGCACUAUCACUUAGCGGCGGACGGGUGAGUAAUGCUUAGGAAUCUGCCUAUUAGUGGGGGACAACAUCUCGAAAGGGAUGCUAAUACCGCAUACGUCCUACGGGAGAAAGCAGGGGAUCACUUGUGACCUUGCGCUAAUAGAUGAGCCUAAGUGGGAUUAGCUAGUUGGUGGGGUAAAGGCCUACCAAGGCGACGAUCUGUAGCGGGUCUGAGAGGAUGAUCCGCCACACUGGGACUGAGACACGGCCCAGACUCCUACGGGAGGCAGCAGUGGGGAAUAUUGGACAACGGGGGGAACCCUGAUCCAGCCAUGCCGCGUGUGUGAAGAAGGCCUUAUGGUUGUAAAGCACUUUAAGCGAGGAGGAGGCUCUUUUGGUUAAUACCCAGAAUGAGUGGACGUUACUCGCAGAAUAAGCACCGGCUAACUCUGUGCCAGCAGCCGCCGCCG